CAACAAUUCAGAUCAGCAGCUAUUCAUUUAGGUGCUGUCUACUAAGCACGAUUAAAUAUACAUAAACCAAUAUGCAUAAGUUCUUGUAGGACCAUAACAAAAGAUGUGACAAAGCAGAGCCUAUACCUCAAAAAAUGCAGAGUGAAAAUGAAACUUUUAGAAGUAUUAGAGAAUGGUUCAGGCAUAAAUAUGCUCACAGCCUCAAACCUCGUCGAGCAGUCAGAACCAAGAAUUUAAGGACACAGUGAAACACUAAAAUGCUAUGAUGCUGACUCAGAACUAACAUGAACCAGUCAAAUUCUCAUCAAAGUGAGACAUUCACUUUUACAACAAGUGAAACCAAGAAAUUAAAACUUAGAAAAAAAAAAAAAAGAAAGGUUAAACAUUAACUGUUA
This 395-nucleotide unclassified non-coding RNA is filed under the name Hevea brasiliensis (rubber tree). Lineage: Eukaryota; Viridiplantae; Streptophyta; Magnoliopsida; Malpighiales; Euphorbiaceae. The record is from RNAcentral.